GCGCCGGUAGUGUAGUGGUUAUCACUGUAGCUUGCCAAGCUAUAGACUCGGGUUCAAUUCCCGACCGGCGCA
This is a transfer RNA of 72 nucleotides. It matches the Rfam family "tRNA". From Rfam's summary of the family: Transfer RNA (tRNA) molecules are approximately 80 nucleotides in length. Their secondary structure includes four short double-helical elements and three loops (D, anti-codon, and T loops). Further hydrogen bonds mediate the characteristic L-shaped molecular structure. tRNAs have two regions of fundamental functional importance: the anti-codon, which is responsible for specific mRNA codon recognition, and the 3' end, to which the tRNAs corresponding amino acid is attached (by aminoacyl-tRNA synthetases). tRNAs cope with the degeneracy of the genetic code in two manners: having more than one tRNA (with a specific anti-codon) for a particular amino acid; and 'wobble' base-pairing, i.e. permitting non-standard base-pairing at the 3rd anti-codon position. The record is from Rfam.